GAAAGCCGUAUUCGAUGAAAGUCGUAUGUACGGCUUGGAGGGAGAUCUUUCAUUAAUGUUGUUUGAGGAACCAUAUGUGGAGCAAUAUCCUUU
RNAcentral lists this non-coding RNA (93 nucleotides) under Olea europaea subsp. europaea. Lineage: Eukaryota; Viridiplantae; Streptophyta; Magnoliopsida; Lamiales; Oleaceae. The record is from RNAcentral.